CAGGUAGGGCCACGGCAGCAGGGCCGGGGUGUAAGGAGGGCAGGUCAUUGCCAGGAGAGCCCUGCAGCCCCCUGUGCCGCUGCCUGCCCGGGUCUGCGCUGCUCCUCCUCCUGCAGCCCUGGGUCCCUCAGGCUGUUUUGUUCCCUGCAGAGCUCCAGCCCUACGAAAACUCGGACCACUACUGUGUGAUCAAGGAGAGGUUUCUGGCCGAAGAAGAAGCAGGAUGCCCGAAGCCGGAGUGGGACUCAAGCCUCCGCUUUGUCCCAGAGAAGACAUCUUAUGAUGACGGGGAGGAGCUGACACUGAGCUGCCUCACUGAGGAUGAUCCUCCUCUCGCUGUGAUCAGAUGUGUUGCAUGGUUCGGCUGGGGACAUGCCUGGGAGGUGAAGGACAAGCAGGGAAGGUGGCAUCGCAUUGAAAUGUACCAGGCCUGCACAGGAACAUGCCAGAAACCCCAGUGGGACAAAAGGAUCCUGCUUGUCCCAAGGAAAGACAACUACACACCAAAUGAGGAACUGAGGCUGUUUUGCCCUGGAAUAGUCAAGCCCUCCUUCACCCACGCCAAAUGCGUGAGGGAAUUUCAAGGAGUGACUUCAGGAAGACCUGACUAUGGGGACAGCUGGUGGGGGAGGAGAGGCAGAGGCUGGACCCGCAUUGAGGAGCCCAUAGCGUGCGUGGUAAAAUGCACGAGGCCCCAAUGGGACGCUGACAUUCGUCUGGCACCAGAGCGCAACGUCUAUAAGGAGGGUGAAGAAGUGAGGCUGAGCUGCCCGGAGGGUUUCCAGCCCCCCUUCCAGCAGGCUAAAUGUACACAUCUAGAUGUGUAUCCCGGAGGGUUUCCAGCCCCCCUUCCAGCAGGCUAAAUG
This 866-nucleotide long non-coding RNA is filed under the name Cairina moschata (Muscovy duck). Its description in RNAcentral is "domestica (muscovy Duck (domestic type)) lncRNA (ENSCMMG00000013654.1)". The record is from RNAcentral. Lineage: Eukaryota; Metazoa; Chordata; Aves; Anseriformes; Anatidae.